Molecule: non-coding RNA, 66 nt
Organism: Pseudomonas taeanensis MS-3
Lineage: Bacteria; Pseudomonadati; Pseudomonadota; Gammaproteobacteria; Pseudomonadales; Pseudomonadaceae
Rfam family: Pseudomonas sRNA P26
About the family: P26 is conserved across many Gammaproteobacteria species and appears to be consistently located between the DNA directed RNA polymerase (beta subunit) and 50S ribosomal protein L7/L12 genes.
Source: Rfam
GACCUUGCGUCAACAGCCUGAGCGACUCGCAUAAGGCUGAUGGCUGGUGGCUUAUGCCACCGGCCU